ACCACUUUGUUGGCCUCUUUGACAUAAGUUCAAAUAUAGUACCUAUUUUUGUCAAUUUAUUCUUUCAUACUUCCUCUAUCCAAAGGCAAUUAUUAAAUAGAUUUUGGAACAGAGAAGUGGAAAAAGGGUUUGCUCUAUCCACUGUACCCAUUAACCUAGUAUGAAAGUAUCUCUAAGAAUGGUGCAUCCCAU
Small nuclear RNA from Dipodomys spectabilis (banner-tailed kangaroo rat), 192 nucleotides. RefSeq annotates it as U2 spliceosomal RNA. The transcript has a single exon. The record is from RefSeq and is a predicted model, not a curated record. NCBI's taxonomy places the organism in Eukaryota, Metazoa, Chordata, Mammalia, Rodentia, Heteromyidae.